This is a long non-coding RNA of Mytilus californianus (California mussel), 6517 nucleotides long. RefSeq lists it as uncharacterized. NCBI's taxonomy places the organism in Eukaryota, Metazoa, Mollusca, Bivalvia, Mytilida, Mytilidae. The transcript is spliced from 32 exons. The record is from RefSeq and is a predicted model, not a curated record.
ACUUAUUUUGUUUUUGUUUCAGAUACCAGCCCCAGGAUAUUUACGUCAGGACAGGUAACAUAUGCAUCGGAAAGUAAGUAUAUUUUUUUUUAUUUAUUAAUAGUUGUCUAAUAGAUAUUAAAAUAAUUUGAAUAUGUAUUACAGAUAGACGGGAGCCAACAGAGAAGAAGAAGACAGUACAGUCCUAGACAUGGAGAUGAUUAAAUUGUAGAUGCCAAGAUGAUGAUAUACCAGCCCCAGGAUAUUUACGUCAGGACAGGUAACAUAUGCAUCGGAAAGUAAGUAUAUUUUUUUUUAUUUAUUAAUAGUUGUCUAAUAGAUAUUAAAAUAAUUUGAAUAUGUAUUACAGAUAGAUGGGAGCCAACAGAGAAGAAGAAGACAGUACAGUCAUAGACAUGGAGAUGAUUAAAUUGUAGAUGCCAAGAUGAUGAUAUACCAGCCCCAGGAUAUUUACGUCAGGACAGGUAACAUAUGCAUCGGAAAGUAAGUAUAUUUUUUUUUAUUUAUUAAUAGUUGUCUAAUAGAUAUUAAAAUAAUUUGAAUAUGUAUUACAGAUAGACGGGAGCCAACAGAGAAGAAGAAGACAGUACAGUCCUAGACAUGGAGAUGAUUAAAUUGUAGAUGCCAAGAUGAUGAUAUUCCAGGAGCAGGUAAUUUACAUCAUACCAGGCUGUCCCGUGGACGUGUUUAUAUUACAGACGGAUGAAGCCCAGAGGAACAUUACAGACGGAUGGAGCCCAGAGGAACAUACAGUCCUAGACCUGAAGUUGCCAGAUAAUGAUGAUGAAGGUUAUUACAGCAACUGUUUUCAUGGAUGGGGAGUAAAACUGGGUGGUCUAAUACUUUUCAUAAAUUAACAAAAUAACAACACGACUGGUGGAUUCAAUUCUAGGAACCAGUGAAGGAAUUAAAAGUGAAGACUUGCGACGGAAAAUCCAGGAAACAGGUCUUUUACUGAACAGUAUGAGAGAGCCAAGAUGAUUGUUGGAUUUAAACUACUUGGAAAAUACCACAAAAUGAAGACAAAAAAUGCACUGCAUCAACAAACAAAUCAACUACUGGAAUGUCAGGGCAUCAGUACCUAGUUCUGAUUCUAAAAACAAUUGUUCAAAAUAAAUGGAGAAUGUGAUAAAGGUGAUGACCCUGCUUGCAUAUAACAUUAUAAAGGGACAAACAGUAAAAUUGAUGCCAUUUAAAUUCAAAGCUGAACAGUGUUUUGUGAUGAAGAUUUGGAUCAUUUUGGCUUGAAAGAUUGUCAGGAACAUGAAAAAACUGAAUCCAUUAUGAACAUAUGUACACAAACAGACAAAAUAACAACAACACUGGUUGAUACAAUUCUAGGAACUGGUGAAGAAGUUAAGUUUUACAAAAUACAGAAGACUUGCAACGGAAAAUCCAGGAAACAGGUCAUUUACUGAACAGUAUGAGAGAGCCAAGAUGAUUGUUGGAUUUAAACUGCUUGAAAAAUACAACCAAAUGAAGACAAAAAAUGCAUCAACAAACAAAUCAACUAAUGGAACGUUUGGGCAUCAGUACCUAGUUCUGACUCGUAAAGCAAUUGUUCAAAACAAAUGGAGAAUGUGAAACAGAUGAUGACCCUGCUUGCAUAUAUUAACAUUAUAAAGGGACAAACAGUUAAUUGAUGCAAUUUAAAUUCAAAGCUGAACAGUGUUUUGUGAUGAAAAUAUGAAUCCUUUUGGCUUGAAAGGUUGUCAGGAACAUGAAGAAACUGAAUCCAUUAUAAACAUAUGUACAUAAACAGAUGAAGAUUUGGAUCCUUUUGGCUUGAAAGAUCAUUGUCAGGAACAUGAAGAAACUGAAUCCAUUAUGAACAUAUGUACACAAAUAGACAAAAUAGCAACAACACUGGUUGAUACAAUUCUAGGUACUGGUGAAGAAGUUAAGUUUUACAAAAUACAGAAGACUUGCAACGGAAAAUCCCGGAAUGAGGUCUUUUACUGAACAGUAUGAGAGAGUCAAGAUGAUUGUUGGAUUUAAACUGCUUGAAAAGUACAACCAAAUGAAGACAAAAAAUGCAUCAACAAACAAAUCAACUAAUGGAACGUUGGGGCAUCAGUACCUAGUUCUGAUUCUAAAAGCAAUUGUUCAAAAUAAAUGGAGAAUGUGACACAGAUGAUGACCCUGCUUGCAUAUAUUAACAUUAUAAAGGGACAAACAGUAAAUUGAUGCAGUUUAAAUUCAAAGCUGAACAGUGUUUUGUGAUGAAGAUUUGGAUCCUUUUGGCUUGAAAGAUCAUUGUCAGGAACAUGAAGAAACUGAAUCCAUUAUGAACAUAUGUACUGAAAUAGACAAAAUAGCAACAACACUGGUUGAUACAAUUCUAGGUACUGGUGAAGAAGUUAAGUUUUACAAAAUACAGAAGACUUGCAACGGAAAAUCCCGGAAUGAGGUCUUUUACUGAACAGUAUGAGAGAGUCAAGAUGAUUGUUGGAUUUAAACUGCUUGAAAAGUACAACCAAAAUGAAGACAAAAAAUGCAUCAACAAACAAAUCAACUAAUGGAACGUUGGGGCAUCAGUACCUAGUUCUGAUUCUAAAAGCAAUUGUUCAAAAUAAAUGGAGAAUGUGACACAGAUGAUGACCCUGCUUGCAUAUAUUAACAUUAUAAAGGGACAAACAGUAAAUUGAUGCAGUUUAAAUUCAAAGCUGAACAGUGUUUUGUGAUGAAGAUUUGGAUCCUUUUGGCUUGAAAGAUCAUUGUCAGGAACAUGAAGAAACUGAAUCCAUUAUGAACAUAUGUACUGAAAUAGACAAAAUAGCAACAACACUGGUUGAUACAAUUCUAGGUACUGGUGAAGAAGUUAAGUUUUACAAAAUACAGAAGACUUGCAACGGAAAAUCCCGGAAUGAGGUCUUUUACUGAACAGUAUGAGAGAGUCAAGAUGAUUGUUGGAUUUAAACUGCUUGAAAAGUACAACCAAAAUGAAGACAAAAAAUGCAUCAACAAACAAAUCAACUAAUGGAACGUUGGGGCAUCAGUACCUAGUUCUGAUUCUAAAAGCAAUUGUUCAAAAUAAAUGGAGAAUGUGACACAGAUGAUGACCCUGCUUGCAUAUAUUAACAUUAUAAAGGGACAAACAGUAAAUUGAUGCAGUUUAAAUUCAAAGCUGAACAGUGUUUUGUGGUAAUUAGCAUUUUAUACAAAAUAACUACACUGGUUGAUACAAUUCUAGGAACAGGUGGAGAAGUUAAAAGUUUUACAAAAUACAGAAGACUUGCAAUGGAAAAUCCAGGAAACAGGUCUUUUACUGAACAGUAUGAGAGAGCCAAGAUGAUUGUUGGAUUUAAAAUGCUUGGAAAAUACAACCAAAUGAAAACAAAAAUGCACUGCAUCAACAAACAAAUCAACUAUUGGAACAUUGGGGCAUCAGUACAUAGUUCUGAUUCUAAAAACAAUUGUUCAAAAUAAAUGGAGAAUGUGUCCAUGGGACACAGAUGAUGCCCUUGCUUGCAUAUAACAUUAUAAAGGGACAAACAGUAAAAUUGACGCCAUUUCAAUUCAAAGCUGAACAGUGUUUUGUGAUGAAAAUAUGAAUCCUUUUGGCUUGAAAGAUUGUCAGGAACAUGAAGAAACUGAAUCCAUUAUAAACAUAUGUACAUAAACAGAUGAAGAUUUGGAUCCUUUUGGCUUGAAAGAUUGUCAGGAACAUGAAGAAACUGAAUCCAUUAUAAACAUAUGUGCACAAACAGACAAAAUAACAACAACACUGGUUGAUACAAUUCUAGGAACUGGUGAAGAAGUUAAGUUUUACAAAAUACAGAAGACUUGCAACGGAAAAUCCCAGAAUGAGGUCUUUUACUGAACAGUAUGAGAGAGUCAAGAUGAUUGUUGGAUUUAAACUGCUUGAAAAAUACAACCAAAUGAAGACAAAAAAUGCAUCAACAAACAAAUCAACUAAUGGAACGUUGGGGCAUCAGUACCUAGUUCUGAUUCUAAAAGCAAUUGUUCAAAAUAAAUGGAGAAUGUGACACAGAUGAUGACCCUGCUUGCAUAUAACAUUAUAAAGGGACAAACAGUAAAUUGAUGCAGUUUAAAUUCAAAGCUGAACAGUGUUUUGUGAUUCCAGGAGCAGGUAAUUUACAUCAUACCAGGCUGUCCCGUGGACGUGUUUAUAUUACAGACCGAUGAAGCCCAGAGGAACAUUACAGACAGAUGGAGCCCAGAGGAACAUACAGUCCUAGACCUGAAGUUGCCAGAUAAUGAUGAUGAAGGUUAUUACAGCAACUGUUUUCAUGGAUGGGGAGUAAAACUGGGUGGUCUAAUACUUUUCAUAAAUUAACAAAAUAACAACACGACUGGUGGAUUCAAUUCUAGGAACCAGUGAAGAAAUUAAAAGUGAAGACUUGCGACGGAAAAUCCAGGAAACAGGUCUUUUACUGAACAGUAUGAGAGAGUCAAGAUGAUUGUUGGAUUUAAACUGCUUGGAAAAUACCACCAAAUGAAGACAAAAAAUGCACUGCAUCAACAAACAAAUCAACUACUGGAAUGUCAGGGCAUCAGUACCUAGUUCUGAUUCUAAAAACAAUUGUUCAAAAUAAAUGGAGAAUGUGACACAGAUGAUGACCCUGCUUGCAUAUAACAUUAUAAAGGGACAAACAGUAAAAUUGAUGCCAUUUAAAUUCAAAGCUGAACAGUGUUUUGUGAUGAAGAUUUGGAUCCUUUUGGCUUGAUAAAUUGUCAGGAACAUGAAGAAACUGAAUCCAUUAUGAACAUAUGUACACAAACAGACAAAAUAACAACAACACUGGUUGAUACAAUUCUAGGAACUGGUGAAGAAGUUAAGUUUUACAAAAUACAGAAGACUUGCAACGGAAAAUCCCUGAAUGAGGUCUUUUACUGAACAGUAUGAGAGAGUCAAGAUGAAUGUUGGAUUUAAACUGCUUGAAAAAUACAACCAAAUGAAGACAAAAAAUGCAUCAACAAACAAAUCAACUAAUGGAACGUUGGGGCAUCAGUACCUAGUUCUGACUCUAAAAGCAAUUGUUCAAAAUAAAUGGAGAAUGUGACACAGAUGAUGACCCUGCUUGCAUAUAUUAACAUUAUAAAGGGACAAACAGUUAAUUGAUGCAGUUUAAAUUCAAAGCUGAACAGUGUUUUGUGAUGAAAAUAUGAAUACUUUUGGCUUGAAAGAUUGUCAGGAACAUGAAGAAACUGAAUCCAUUAUAAACAUAUCUACAUAAACAGAUGAAGAUUUGGAUCCUUUUGGCUUGAAAGAUUGUCAGGAACAUGAAGAAACUGAAUCCAUUAUAAACAUAUGUGCACAAACAGACAAAAUAACAACAACACUGGUUGAUACAAUUCUAGGAACUCGUGAAGAAGUUAAGUUUUACAAAAUACAGAAGACUUGCAACGGAAAAUCCCGGAAUGAGGUCUUUUACUGAACAGUAUGACAGAGUCAAGAUGAUUGUUGGAUUUAAACUGCUUGAAAAAUACAACCAAAUGAAGACAAAAAAUGCAUCAACAAACAAAUCAACUAAUGGAACGUUGGGGCAUCAGUACCUAGUUCUGACUCUAAAAGCAAUUGUUCAAAAUAAAUGGAGAAUGUGACACAGAUGAUGACCCUGCUUGCAUAUAUUAACAUUAUAAAGGGACAAACAGUUAAUUGAUGCAGUUUAAAUUCAAAGCUGAACAGUGUUUUGUGAUGAAAAUAUGAAUACUUUUGGCUUGAAAGAUUGUCAGGAACAUGAAGAAACUGAAUCCAUUAUAAACAUAUCUACAUAAACAGAUGAAGAUUUGGAUCCUUUUGGCUUGAAAGAUUGUCAGGAACAUGAAGAAACUGAAUCCAUUAUAAACAUAUGUGCACAAACAGACAAAAUAACAACAACACUGGUUGAUACAAUUCUAGGAACUGGUGAAGAAGUUAAGUUUUACAAAAUACAGAAGACUUGCAACGGAAAAUCCCGGAAUGAGGUCUUUUACUGAACAGUAUGAGAGAGUCAAGAUGAUUGUUGGAUUUAAACUGCUUGAAAAAUACAACCAAAUGAAGACAAAAAAUGCAUCAACAAACAAAUCAACUAAUGGAACGUUGGGGCAUCAGUACCUAGUUCUGAUUCUAAAAGCAAUUGUUCAAAAUAAAUGGAGAAUGUGACACAGAUGAUGACCCUGCUUGCAUAUAACAUUAUAAAGGGACAAACAGUAAAUUGAUGCAGUUUAAAUUCAAAGCUGAACAGUGUUUUGUGACAAAAUAACAUCAACACUGGUUGAUACAAUUCUAGGAACCGGCGAAGAAGUUAAAAGUUUUACAAAAUACAGAAGACUUGCAACGGAAAAUCCAGGAAACAGGUCUUUUACUGAACAGUAUGAGAGAGCCAAGAUGAUUGUUGGAUUUAAACCGCUUGGAAAAUACAACCAAAUGAAGACAAAAAAUGCAUCAACAAACAAAACAACUAAUGGAACGUUGGGGCAUCAGUACCUAGUUCUGAUUCUAAAAACAUUGUUCAAAAUCUUCUACAAGGUUUAGAAGACUGUACAUACAUGUAUAUAUUUAUAUUUAUAU